This 253-nucleotide ribosomal RNA is filed under the name uncultured bacterium. Its description in RNAcentral is "partial 16S ribosomal RNA". It matches the Rfam family "Bacterial small subunit ribosomal RNA", at positions 524 to 776 of the family's 1533-position model. The record is from RNAcentral.
UACGUAGGGUGCAAGCGUUAAUCGGAAUUACUGGGCGUAAAGCGUGCGCAGGCGGUUAUGCAAGACAGAGGUGAAAUCCCCGGGCUCAACCUGGGAACUGCCUUUGUGACUGCAUAGCUAGAGUGCGGCAGAGGGGGAUGGAAUUCCGCGUGUAGCAGUGAAAUGCGUAGAUAUCGAGAGGAACACCGGUGGCGAAGGCGAGUCCCUGGAAAACACCUGACACUGAGGCACGAAAGCUAGGGGAGCAAACAGG